Molecule: ribosomal RNA, 233 nt
Filed under: uncultured bacterium
Lineage: Bacteria
Description: partial 16S ribosomal RNA
Rfam family: Bacterial small subunit ribosomal RNA
Source: RNAcentral
GAAUCAACGCUGGCGGCGUGCCUCAGACAUGCAAGUCGAACGAGAACGUCCCCGUUCGGGGGAGUGGAUAGUGGCGCACGGGUGAGUAACACGUGGGUUAAUUUACCUUUGGGUGGGGAACAACAGACCGGAAACGGCUGCUAAUACCGCAUAAUGCAGCGGCUCCUCAUGGAGACAGUUUGUUAAAGGCGGGGGAUCGCAAGACCUCGCGCCUGAAGAGAACGCCCGCGGCA